Molecule: unclassified non-coding RNA, 570 nt
Filed under: Hevea brasiliensis (rubber tree)
Lineage: Eukaryota; Viridiplantae; Streptophyta; Magnoliopsida; Malpighiales; Euphorbiaceae
Source: RNAcentral
AACAAAGCGAACUGCUUGCUUCCCAAGUUCCAAGGAUUUUACUCUACCGUCAUCCAGAGUAACAGACAACGUUGAAGUGCCUUCAACCAUGUCGGAGACCGCUCCCUUAUGCCUGGAUUAGGAAGUCAUCAUCAACAGCCAAAAAGAGAAAUAAGCCCAAAUCAUAACCAAAUCUUCCAGUCAUAUCAUGACAUGAAGGGUUCUAAAACUCAUUACCAUCUCACUAUAACAGCAAAUACAUUUUCCAUCAAGUGGGAGAAAAGGACAUGUAAGCACACAAGCAGAAUCAUUGGGCAAAGAACACACAAGUCAAGGUGAAGCAGUUACAUGUUAGACUUCUAUGCAUACCCAUUAAGACGUUGAGAAAAACACUAUCUUAAAAAUGCUUAUUAGAGACCUUCAAAUUUUGAUUUUAAUUUAAAUUUAAUUUAUUUUAAUUAUAAUUUUAAAAAGAAAAGAAUAAGCGUCAAAACUAAUUGUAUUAACGUUUUCAAAUGGCUAACUGUUUAAUCAUUUUAAGGUUGUGAAAUAUUAGUUUAAUCAUUAUUUUUCAUCAUUUAAUUAUGUUGG